Molecule: ribosomal RNA, 301 nt
Filed under: uncultured bacterium
Lineage: Bacteria
Description: partial 16S ribosomal RNA
Rfam family: Bacterial small subunit ribosomal RNA
Source: RNAcentral
CAGUCGCCACGGGAAUACGUAGGGUGCAAGCGUUAAUCGGAAUUACUGGGCGUAAAGCGUGCGCAGGCGGUUAUAUAAGACAGAUGUAAAAUCCCCGGGCUCAACCUGGGAACUGCAUUUGUGACUGUAUAGCUAGAGUACGGCAGAGGGGGAUGGAAUUCCGCGUGUAGCAGUGAAAUGCGUAGAUAUGCGGAGGAACACCGAUGGCGAAGGCAAUCCCCUGGGCCUGUACUGACGCUCAUGCACGAAAGCGUGGGGAGCAAACAGGAUUAGAUACCCGAGUAGUCCCUGUCUCUUAUAC